Molecule: long non-coding RNA, 1834 nt
Organism: Peromyscus californicus insignis
Lineage: Eukaryota; Metazoa; Chordata; Mammalia; Rodentia; Cricetidae
Exons: 4
Source: RefSeq, a predicted model, not a curated record
AGAGGUAGGACCACCGCAGGAGGAAGGGUAAGGUUUUAGCUCUUAGCUCUGACCUCUUGGCUUUCUUCUUUGCAUUGGUUCUGUGUUUCUUAUUUAAUAAGAAGGUUGGAUACAUCUACAUUGGAGGUCAUUUUUUUUUUAAUUGAAGACUUGAAGAAUUCACUACUCCGAUGUUCCGGGCCACGCGGGUCCUGCAGAGUCUCCGGCUGCAUGCCUCAGCUCAGCCACAUCCGAAGGGAGGGGCGGGUAUCUCUUUUGUAUAAUAUCAUAUCAUCUACAAAUAGGGAUGAUUUGAGUUCUUAUUUUCCUAUUUGUAUCCCUUUAAUUUUCUUCUCUUGUCUUUCUUGCUCCAAUUAAUGCUUCCAGGACUAUAUUGAAAAGAAGUUGGGAUGUCUCCAUGUUCAUUUCUGAUUGUGUUCAUUUGAGUAAUCUCUUACUUUCUUUUGGUUAUUUGGGCUAAGGGUCUGUCAAUCUUCUUUAUCUUCUCAAAGAACCAGCUCUCAUAUUCAUUGAGUCAUUGUAUUGUUUUAUUUGUUACUAUCUCUUUAAUUUCUGCUUUGAUUUUUAUUAUUUGUUGUCUACUGGGUUUGGGUUUGGUUUGUUCUUGUUUUUCUAAAUUAUUGAGUUGCAUCAUUAAGUUAUUUGUACUUUUUCAGAUCUUUUAAUGUAAGACAGUUAUAAACUUCCCUCUUAAUGUGUCCCAGAGUGGUAUGGAAUUAAUAUUAAAAUAAUUCUAACUAGACAAAGAUGUGUUACAUUUGUUUAUUCUGUAGAAUAUCACUUUAACUGUAUAAAGGUGUGUUACAUUUGUUUGUGCUGUAUUUGUUUAAUGAUGUAAGGAUGUGUGUUUAAUUAUGUAAAGAAGUAUUGCAUUUGUUUCACCUUGCCUGCCUAAGGCACCUGGUUGGUCUAAUAAAGAGCUGAAUGGCCCAUAGCUAGGCAGAGAGAGGAUAGGUAGGGCUGGUGGGCAGAGAGAAUAAGUAGGAGAAAUCUACACUUGAGAGAAAAGAAGGAGGAGAGAACAAGGGAGAAAGAAAGGGAUACACCUGGGGCCAACCAAGCAUCUACCAGCCAUCCAAACAUAGAGACAGCAGGAAAGUAAGAUAUAAAGAAAGGUAAAAACCCUGAGGCAAAACAUAGAUAAAAAGAAACAAAUUAAAAUAAUAGUUAAGAAAAGGCUGAGCGUUCAUAACUAAUAUUAAGUCUCCAUAUCAUGAUUUGUGAACUUGUUGGUAUCACAAAAGAAAAAUCCUGGGAUCCCAGAGUUUUUGUUGUAUUUUUCUUUUUGUUUACUUUCAGGAAUACUUUUUCAUUUUUUUCUUGAUUUCUUCUUUGACCCAUUCAUCAUUCAGUAAAAAGUUGUUUAAUUUCCAUGAGUAUAUACACUUACUAAAAUUUUGUUUGCUUUUGAUUUUAAAUUUUAUUGCAUAAUGGCUCGAUAGGAUGCAUGGAAUUGUUUCAAUUUUUCUGUAUUUUUUAAGGUUUUUUUAUGUUCCUGGUUGUGGUCUAUUUUAGAGAAGCUUCCACAUGCUAAUGAGUAAAAUUUUCUCCAGAACUUUUAUGGGAAGGAACAUUGAACUUUGUCAAAGGCUUCUUCUACAUCUAUUAAGGUAAAUCCAUGGAUCCCUGGAAGUUCUUGAUAUUGUUGAUGUAUGACUUCUUCACAUUGAAAUAUUAGCUGCCUGCUGAUCUAGAUGAAGAAAUCUCAGCUCCUUUUCUAGCAGCUUGCCUGCCUGCAGGCCACCAUGCUUCACACCAUGAUGAUAAUGGACUAAACCUCUGAACUGUAAGCCAGUCCCAAUUAAAUGUUUUUCUUUAUAAGAGUUGUCAAGGG